This 446-nucleotide ribosomal RNA is filed under the name uncultured bacterium. RNAcentral's name for it is "bacterial SSU rRNA". It matches the Rfam family "Bacterial small subunit ribosomal RNA", at positions 329 to 792 of the family's 1533-position model. The record is from RNAcentral.
GACCAGACUCCUACGGGAGGCAGCAGUGGGGAAUAUUGCACAAUGGGGGAAACCCUGAUGCAGCGACGCCGCGUGAGUGAAGAAGUAUUUCGGUAUGUAAAGCUCUAUCAGCAGGGAAGAAGUUGACGGUACCUGAGUAAGAAGCCCCGGCUAACUACGUGCCAGCAGCCGCGGUAAUACGUAGGGGGCAAGCGUUAUCCGGAUUUACUGGGUGUAAAGGGAGCGUAGACGGCAGUGCAAGUCUGAAGUGAAAGCCCCGGGCUUAACCCGGGAACUGCUUUGGAAACUGUACGGCUGGAGUGCUGGAGAGGUAAGCGGAAUUCCUAGUGUAGCGGUGAAAUGCGUAGAUAUUAGGAGGAACACCAGUGGCGAAGGCGGCUUACUGGACAGUAACUGACGUUGAGGCUCGAAAGCGUGGGGAGCAAACAGGAUUAGAUACCCCAGUA